This 433-nucleotide ribosomal RNA is filed under the name uncultured bacterium. RNAcentral describes it as "partial 16S ribosomal RNA". It matches the Rfam family "Bacterial small subunit ribosomal RNA", at positions 29 to 507 of the family's 1533-position model. The record is from RNAcentral.
AACGAACGCUGGCGGCAUGCCUAACACAUGCAAGUCGAACGAGACCUUCGGGUCUAGUGGCGCACGGGUGCGCAACGCGUGGGAACCUGCCCUUAGGUUCGGAAUAACUCCCCGAAAGGGGUGCUAAUACCGGAUAAUGUCUUCGGACCAAAGAUUUAUCGCCUUUGGAUGGGCCCGCGUUGGAUUAGCUAGUUGGUAGGGUAAAAGCCUACCAAGGCGACGAUCCAUGGCUGGUCUGAGAGGAUGAUCAGCCACACUGGGACUGAGACACGGCCCAGACUCCUACGGGAGGCAGCAGUGGGGAAUAUUGGACAAUGGGCGAAAGCCUGAUCCAGCAAUGCCGCGUGAGUGAUGAAGGCCUUAGGGUUGUAAAGCUCUUUUACCCGGGAUGAUAAUGACAGUACCGGGAGAAUAAGCUCCGGCUAACUCCGUG